Molecule: long non-coding RNA, 2223 nt
Organism: Mercenaria mercenaria
Lineage: Eukaryota; Metazoa; Mollusca; Bivalvia; Venerida; Veneridae
Exons: 7
Source: RefSeq, a predicted model, not a curated record
UAGCUUUGGUUUGUGAGUAAAUUUGACCUUAAGGACCUGUUAUCACACAUGGCAGUUACUUAAUGGCAAACAAGAAGUAUCAAUUGUGGGACGGUUCAUUCAGGAAACAGGAAAGGAUAUGAGGAAGUACAUGUUCCAGUACCACAACCCUUCGAUUCAGAUGAGAGGCUGAAGUGAUAUAAUAUGAAGGUUGAGGAGUUGACAGGAGCUCUCAGGUGACCAAGGAACAGAUAAAUGCCACACAGAUCGUUGUUUGCACGCCAGAGAAAUGGGAUAUCAUCUCUAGGAAAGAAGGGGAGAGAACUUAUACACAACUUGUCAGAUUAAUGAUCUUUAACCAUAAGAAACAUGGAAACUACACAAGAAGAUGUACGACUUGUUGGUCUCGGUGCCACACUACCAAACUACGAGGAUGUAGCAACCUUCCUGCGCUUGGAACCCUCUGAAGGUCUGCUCUUUUCCGACGACAGUUUCCAACCUGUACCACUAGAACAACAGUUUAUCGAUAUAACUGUGUGGAAACCGAUGAAGAGGUUCGAGAUAAUGAAUGAGGUUGUAUAUGAAAAGGUUAUGGAACAUGCAGGCAAUAAUCAGAUCAACGUUGAGAGUGGAAUUGACAAUUACACCAGACUUUCAGUGGGAUGAGAAGUUGCAUGGUUCAUCAGAAGCUUUCUGGAUCCUGGUGGAGGAUGUGGACAGUGAAGUUAUACUGCAUCAUGAAUACUUUCUUCUCCAGAAGACUACAUUUCUGUGCGGAAGGAUUAAAAAACUCCACCAGACUAGCGGCCAUAAAAGAUGUCAGUGGGAAAUUCAAACAUAGACUAGAUACUUUGAUGUGUAGCAAAAAAGUUCAUUGUUGAUGGUGGUGUUUUUCUAUGAUAUAUUGACUGGGGUAGUAUUACUCUUCAGAAAUACAGAGCUGUCAAUGCUGCAAUUUUGUUGUGAAAUUCACAGUCCAUGUCCAAAAGUGCUUGUUUUACCAUACAGCAAAGAAGGAGAAAUUGUAGUGGGCCGACACCUUCUGACAAAUGGAUAGGAGCAGAGACAUUAUUACCAAUUUUCAAGUUUAUUUUGAAGUCAAGGCCCUCAGGGGCAUUGGACAAACAUAACAAACAAUGCAACAUACAACAACAUGGCAUAUGGAACAAGAUGUCAUUAUUGUGAACAGUGUACAAGGAGGAUGAGAACCAGUUUCAUUCCAUCACCUGAUACUGCCGGAGAAGUAUACCCCACCAACAAAGUUGUUAGAUCUCUGCUUUGAGAAAUCCCAAUGCAGUGAAGACUUUACAUUCUUCAACCCAGUACAAACACAAGUUCGAGGCGGACAGUUUCCUCGUAUCACUCUGAUAGCUGCUGCAGAGCUGAACAGUGGACAUUCCUUCAAUACAUACGUUUUACCUAAAACACUGAUCACCUCAAAAGCCCAACAACUUACUGGAAUUGUAAUGUCAGGUAGUAACUCUGUGUUAGUAAAUGGAAUGCCAGUGGAAGCAGAAUUUAUAACUACAUCACUGGAAAAGUUUUGUAAAUGGCUAGAACAAUUUGACAAUGUCAUUCUGGUAGCCCGCAAUGGCAGAAGAUUUGACAGUAGCUUGUUGUAAAAUUCUUCAGAGUUUUUUUUAAAUGUGUGUCUGGAUUUGUUGAUUCUCUAACAGUUUUACGCAAACCUUUUCCUGACAGUUUCUCGUACAAACAAGAUCUUGUACAAGAAUUUUGAGUGAAAGUUAUGGAGAGGGAGAGUGAAAGCUAUGGAGCACAUAAUGCCAUGGAGGAUGUUAAAGCAUUAGGAAAUCUUUUAAAACACGUGUCAAUAAAGCCUAAAACAAUGCUUUCAUUUAAUUAUUCUCCAAAAUCUGUACAUGAAAUAUUCAGGCCUCAACCUAAAUCAUUUGAAAAUAAUUGUCAAGCACAAGGGAGAAGAUGGGUUGAAGAACACGUACAUUGUUGAUAUAGUGAAGGACAACCAUGUGUUACAAACACAAAGAGGACAUUAGAGAGAGUUAUUCCAAACCUUGUGGAGUACUUAAGAAAUGAUUUUAUCAUACCUCAUAGCUUAUGCUCCAUAUUGUAAUUUUAAAAGAGUAAGAAAUGUUCAAAAAUGAUGUCUCUUGAUCUGUAUGUCAAGUUUUAUGCUUUGAUUUGGUUAUCUUUUUUGAACUCUUAUAACAUAUUAUUAUAUGUGUAUGAACAUUUUACUUUAUUAAAAGGAUAAUAUUACUACUA